UUCAGUAUGUGUGGCCCCUUCUGAUUGGU
RNAcentral lists this non-coding RNA (29 nucleotides) under Rattus norvegicus (Norway rat). Lineage: Eukaryota; Metazoa; Chordata; Mammalia; Rodentia; Muridae. The record is from RNAcentral.